RNAcentral lists this long non-coding RNA (8002 nucleotides) under Triticum aestivum (bread wheat). RNAcentral's name for it is "long non-coding RNA (TAES_LNC018192)". The record is from RNAcentral. Lineage: Eukaryota; Viridiplantae; Streptophyta; Magnoliopsida; Poales; Poaceae.
UGUGUGCUUAGUUGCAGUAGUUUUUGUCUGUUUCGUCUGCCGUUAUUUCAGUUGUGAUAUAUGUUAGUACUGCUUGCUUACCUCUCAUGAUAGCUUUUUCCAUGCUAGUUAUAUUGUUGUUGAUAAUAUCAUGCUUCUGUCUAGUUUAGUUCAUGCCAGUAGUCUUGAUGUUAUGAUGAUUUUGUUGCACCUUCAAUAAGCUAGUAUCUAGUAUUGUUAUGUUUCAUAUGCUAUAACUGUUCACUUGAGUAGCUUGAUAUUUGUUAAUGCAUUUGUUAGUUGCAUGUUCAUUGUUGCAUUCUUGUUGAAUAUGCUCAUAAUAUUGAUGAUGUUGGAGAAGUUAAUAAUAUGACUUAAUAACAAACCUCCUCCGCCAUCACUGGGAUAUCAUAGUGCCACCAAAUCGAGCUUUCUCCAGUGCAACCACAUUUACCUUGUGGGAAGGUCCUAGCUGGGUCUAGUGUCAUGCCUCUCGCCGGUGCCUCCCGCGAGGGAAGGUUAUGGGCGCGCUUACCCUGAUCAGGUAGGCGGACAUAAGCCUUGUGUGCCCGGGUUUGGUUUUGAGCUCAUGUCCUCGUUUGGGACCGUUUUUCCACGACGGUGGCCGUCGGUACCUUUGGUAGGUAUGGGGCCACCCAGGACCGAACCCUUAAGGGGUGUUGGUCGGAGUGGCCGGGAGGGCGUCAUGGCAGUAGAUCGGUUUUGUCGGAAUGCUUUGGUCCGCGUGUAUGGGAGUGCGAGACUAGGGUUCCGUGUGUGGGUAAAGUGCGCUACCUCUGCAGAGUGUAUUCAAUCUAUCGAUAGCCGCGUCCUCGGUCAUGGGUACAGGUUCGUAGUAGGUCACACUAUCGGGUCUCGGUCGAAAUGGAGGAUAAAUCAACUAAUAAAUUAUGUGAUAACUAAUGUGAUGGCUUGGACUAUGAAAUAAUCGUGAGAAGUCACGAUGAUGUGUUGAUAUGACCCCGAGACGAGGUCUCGGUAAGUCAUGAUUGUGCUCCGAGGAGCCGUGGCAGAGUAAGUGAUUGUGGCAUAAGGUUAUUACAACAUGUCUUCAUGGGAGGUAACUGGUAGUUUAUUUUCAGCAUAGUUUCAUGAUGCCAUGCCCUGUUUUGAUAUGCUAUGCUUUGCUGUUGUUAUGAUAGAAGUAAGUUUGAUAUGCCAUCAUAGUUGAUGCUAUGAUGUUGUUCAUGCCUAGUUUGAAUUAUGAUUCUAGUUAAUAUCAUGCCAUGCUUAGAAGUUGUGUUGAUGUAGACUGUUGCAUAUGCUUGGUUCUUGCUUUGUCUUCUGUUUGUUUGGAUGCUAUGUAUUUGGUUGUCUUGCAAGUACAUUCAAUGUACUGACCUGGCGUGUCAUGCCAGUUUUGUAGGUCGUUCGCUUGUUCCGUCGUGCUAGGUCGUAAUCAUGCCAGUCCUGUGCGUUAUGGAGCCCAGCCUUAAUAAGACGCUGCCAAACCAAGACUUCCGCCGCCAUUUAUAUGGACUUCCGCUGCCAUGUAAAUAGCCUUAGGGCUAUGCCAGAAAAUUGUAUUCAUCAAUGAUGUAAUCUUAUACACAUGUAUUUGAUGAAUAUUAUUGUACCUGGAAUGCUGUAUCAUGGACCUGUCGUGCGUCAGGCGUAAUCCCGGGCUGACGUGCGAAGGCCCCCUGCUCCAUGCGGAUCAGGGUGCCACAGGAGAUGGUAUCAGAGCAGCCAGGCUGGCAUAGGUUAUCCUAGCAUUAGAUCACCGCUACCAUCAACCCAUAAUGACCCUAAGGGAUUUGACCCAUCCCUGGCAUCCGUCAUGGCCACUGUUAAUCUACAGGUGGCGCAGUCGGGACCAACACGUCCUUACCCCGCUGUCCCCGCCUAGUUAUACGUGGAUUGAAUAGCAACCCUAUCCUUUCUGGUCGGCCGCACCGCGUACCCUUCACCAUUAAGGAAAAGGGGCCACACCAUGCGGGCAUGUCCCGCAUAGCCGCCUAUAAAAUCCCCCUUUCUGCUAGCCGUAUCGCUCACCCCUCAGUCAGCCAUGUCCCUGCAGAAAAGCUUAGCUAGUAGCUCCCCAGCCAUGACUAGCACCUUCAAAGCUCCCAAGUUUUACACCUGCACCUUUGCCGUCAACCACCCUGGCUUCCCACCCCUUCUUACCGAGAUGCUCACCAAAGCCUUUGGCUAUAAGGCUAGCCCCGAUUACCUGGUGUUCCAAUCGACGGCCGUCCCUCACCUUCACCGCUAUGAUGCAAGAGUGCGCAUCAGCCUAGGUCCCGCAGUAGAUGGCUAGCCUUUGGUUUUUCAGGGUAGAGCCACGCCUACCUCUGAUUUAGCCAUUCAGGCCGCUGCUGUGGAAGCUAUCCUAUACCUCUAAACCAAGAUCCCGCAAGUGGCAGAGAGGCGGGAGUUCUGCUUUUUCCCCGUGGUGACAGAAGCAGGAAUUCAGUCUUCUCCCACUAUCCAAGGAGAUGACCCCGCAAUCGCUCGCCUGGUGCAAUAUAUCACUGCCCAGGGGAUGAUGAUUUCUAAGAUGCUCGCCGAAUUUAGAACCCUGGACGACGAUGCGGUACGAGUUGUUAAGGAAGCUUACCAUGAGGCUCGUAAAUUCGCAUCUCAAGCCGUUCACCCCAUGCCAUCCGAACCAGUGCUACCCUCUUAGCCUGUGUUGUGGCCUAGACCCAACAUCAUCACCCUCGACAAGUCUCUUUUCUGGAUCCAUCAGCAGCAUCUGCUUGGAUCAAUUUUAGCCACACCUCCAGCAGUCGAACCCCAACCCAUAGUAGUGUCGGACGUUGAAGAUGGAGAUUGGCUCAGUCUUUGUCCUCCCGGAGAGCCCCAGCAAGGCCAGUCCUCUGCAUGACCUCAGUCACGCAGUGAGAUGACUCUGCGAGUAGGUCAGUCAGUCGGUUCAUCUCCGAUAUGAGGAUAGAACUAUGUAUCCUGGAGUGAGUAGUUUCGUUUAGCGCGUAGAGCGUUCGUGCUUUGUUGUACUGUUUGUAACCCGUAAUGUGUUUGUGUAUGCUUGCUUGCUUUUGAAUUUUUGUGCUUGUUUUUGUUUGUCUCUCCGUCAAACAGAGAUGUUUGACAGGGUUGGCAAUGUGUGCUAACGAGAUUUUAAUCAGUAGAUCACAUACACUAAAUAACAUUGGCUCGUCCCAAGUCUUUAAUAAAAUGCGCGCUGGUGUAGGUAUAUGUAUGCCAGGAGUACAUAUACCCACUAGCAUUAAAACACCUUAGUAUUAUUUGUCUGAUGUGUUUUUCAUUGCAUGUUUAUUGCACCUGUGUGUUGUUAGUUUAGACUGCAUUGCAUACUGCACACAUACCCGGUUCACCCACGAGUGCAUUUAGGGCAGUACUCGGGGAAAACGCAAAGUCACAUCCCUAUCUCUAUCUGUGCAUACCCCGUGUGCCAGAUUUUCCAAACACAGCGCCUCGAAGAGGCAUUUUCAUUUGGCCAUUUCUCGUCCCUAAUUCUUUUUCGUUAACCCAAUUGCAUUUUAGGAGAAACGUUGCCAGCUUUAUUUCACUCGAUCUAGUACAACCCCCCGAUACAUAUUUCAACUCCGCCUCUACCCUGACACCUACAUUUCGUGGAGCAAUCCGCGAAAUUUUCCCGUGUCCUAGUCUGAUUCCUGAGCUGGCACAUCCCCCUCACCCGCAUCCGAACCAAACCAUCACCACCGUCACCGCCUUGAGUGGCGCAGGUAGAUCGCCACCACCGUUCCACCGCAGCACGCGAUUACUCCGCCGGCGCAACACGAUGGAGGAUCAAGCGUGGCAGAGGACCACCCCGUGCACCAUCUUCUUCCACACCUCGAGCCACCGCAGCUGGCCGCGCGUUGCCUCGAGCUCGCUCAUACAUGAUGAUCAUCAGCAGGAUGAUCGACGAGCCAAUCAGAGUGCCCAGCAGUGCAGCUAGGAACCACCGCAACGCCACCAGGAACACAACCUCGCCGAAGGAGCUCGGCUCGAUUUCGUCCAAACCGAAUAGGUAGUAGAGCGGCAUUGUGUUUGUGCAUUGGAGGAGAGUCGCGCUGCCGUUUUUAUAGCCCAACUCCGGUGUACGAUGAGCGAGGUCCAGGAAAACCGCUCGUCGCUCGAUCACUGGCGUCCAGGAGGCGAAUCCGCGAGCAGUACCGACAUGGUGCUGGCCCGCGACAUGAGUGCUCGCUGCACCAGUGUCGUGCACGCCGCGCACUACGACACUAGGGUCCUCAUCGCCCUAGGAGCUAGAUGCGCGCUGCGCCAAGCCACACGCGGAGCAGCAUCAUAGGAGAAGCAACUAGCCGGAGGUAGAAGGAGCCUGCCAGUGGGCCCUGGACCCACGUGUCAGCAGGUGAAACCACUGUUCAUUGGGGUGCAUCCAGCAUUUUUCGGGAGUCUGAUCUCGAGUGCCCGUACCCGUGGAUAUAACCGUGUUUGCCCAUAUCUCUCCCUGGGUGUACCACUUAUCGGUGCCCCAACUCGUUCGAAUCCGACCAAAGGGUUAAAAUUAACCCCGAGGCUUUUCCCCGGAGUAGUUAUCUUUGCAAUUGUGCUGUAACCCUAGGAAUCUCGAGGACGAGAUUCUUUUUAAGGGCGGAAGGUUUGUAACAGCCCCAAAAUUGGGUUAUCAAUUUUUGAGUUGUUAUUCCUUCCUGGCACUCAUUUUCAAAAUUUUCUCCUGAGUUUGCUGGAUGACUCUGAGAAAUUUUUGCCAUUUCCAACCUUUCAAAACCUUGCUCAUGUCUUUUUCAGUGGGCAAGACCUCAUUUGCCUCAGCUCAAACCCUCUCAAACCCUAAUUCCAAAUUGUUGGAAUUUAAAGAUGGCCUUUGUGAUUACAAAGGAGCUAUCAUUUUCCUUGAUCUGUUGAUCAUCCCAUCUGUUCCCUGAGAACCUCCUAUCCUUGUAAACCUUGGAUAUGCAAAAAUAUUGCCAAGUCCCAUGCAAUAUUUUUGAAUUAUGAUUUAUUCCUUUUCUUGCCUUUCCGAGGGAUAAAAUUCAAAGGCAUAUCUAGCCAUCUCCAAGAUUCAUGAGAAUUGGUGGAGUUGAUAUUUAUGUCUAAUCCAAGCUAUGGCAAAGAUAUUGGCCAUAAUUAAAUAUGGAAAAAUGCCUUUUACUAUUUAAUACCAAUAUUGCAUUUCUGCCACUUCCUAAAGGAACUACUAUUUUUAUAGUAGGGAAAAUUCUCACAUAAAUUGUGGAGCUUGCCCUUGCUAUAUAAUCACAAGUUCCAUCCUUGUUCCAUGUUCCAUAGUUCAAAAUUUUGGCACAUGAUCCAAUGCAAGUUUCUGCCUUCUCUGAAAUUUUGCAAAGGAAGUGCUUUAUUCCUAAUUCCAAUUGAGCUGCAAUUUGGUAGGGUGAUUAACCUUCAUAAAUCACACAUGAAUACCAAAGAUGAGCUCAAUCCAUUCAUCUUAGCUCCCUAUGCCAUUUUCCAAAGUUUCUGACCAGAAUGUAACUUUGUGAAGGAAGUACCUUCAUAGAGUUUUCAAAUGGGAUGAAACUUUUUCAUCCUCUCAAGUAUUCCAAAUCAUUAGCCUCCACCUAAAUUCAGUUCAAUUCAUUGAACUAUGUGAACAUAGGAGCAAUUCUUGGUUUCUGUCCAAAUUUUCAGUUUGUGAAGCAAGUCUAUUUUAUCUUGCUCCAUUAUGGCUGAAAAUAUUCCUAAGCCUUCUCCUCUCCAUACAACCUAUCUCCAACCAAUUUUGGCUCAUUUCAUGUAGCCAGUAUUUUCCUGGAUUUUUCCAAAUUUCUGGUGAGAUCUGAUGCUUGUGAAACAAGUACCAAUUUGGCAAGUCCAUUUGGUAUGAUAUUUUUGCAGCAUCUACAUAUGACCAAAUAAGGAAGCUUUGCCAAGUUUUAGCCCAAUCCAUCACUCCUAGUGAGUGCUUCUUCAUCAUUUGCUUUCUGGGUCAGAUUUGGCAUUUGAACUGCAGCUAUGCUAAAUCCUUGCCCAAAUCCCUUCCAACUUUCCAGGACCGUAGUCCUUGCUAUACUAAACCUCCUAGACGACCAGUUUUGCCCUUAACCUUUCUGUGUUGAUCGCCAGGAUGUUGCCAAGUUUGCAACAGCAAACUUGUCGAGCCUGUUUCCCUCUGCUCACUACACCUUUGCUCGUUCCAUCACUUCAGUCUUAAUGAGCGUUGGAGGGACUACGCUGUAGACAUCAUUUGGCACCAAGUAGACGACCAGAUUAUGCGUUGUCGGUGGUGACCACGGGCAGUGCCAGCCAAAUCGGUGGUCUAGCCACUGCUGGCCACAGUAGUGCAUCUCCGGCUAGCUCUGGCUUGUCCAAGCUUGUCAACCAGCUCAGCCUCAUCGUCGCCGUGCGCCUUGGCCCGUUUCCCCCUUCGUUUGCUUCCUCGUUGAGCCAUCGCCGUCGCUGAGCACAGUGCACGCCCGUGCACCGUCGUCUUCCUCGUUCUUGUCCCCUUCUCCCUCUCAUCCGCGAGCGCCCCUCGUCUCCGUGAGCCCCUGCGCGUCGUCCGCAUCCCCCUCGUCGUGUCACCAUCGUUUCCCGUGGCCUUUGGCCGUGCAUGCAUGUCGCCGGCGCGCGGACACGUAGCCGUGCCGCGUGUCACCUCCUCCCCUCCCCUAGAGCACAUCCCCGCGGCUAUUUAAGCCCGUCCCGAGCUCCCUCGCAGUCCUCAAGCCUCCCCAAGCACUUCACUCGUCCCCGGAGUCGCUCUCCGAUCCCCACCAUCGCCAUGGCCGCAGUUUCAGGCUCUGCUCGAUCUCGGCAAUGCCGUGCCCCCCUCGCCGUUCCACCACCACCUAUGCGUUCCCCGAGGUCCGGCGCACCUCCCCGUAGCCUUGCCCACCUAGUUCCCCCACCGGAGCCCCCUGUUCGCUGGAGUCCGAAGACCACCUCUGCCGCGAGCCCUGCUGCUCCUUCUCCCGUGCUCCUCGCCGGCAACGGACACCACCACGGGAUGCGCCUCUUGCUCCUGAGCUCGUGGAUAGGUCGGCCGUCGUCUGAGGCGGCCGGAGCCGCCGGCAAUCGCAGUGGAGGCGGGCGUCUCCCUCGGCCAGGCGCGCGUACGCGCAGGAGGAAGAAGCCAGGCCAGGCGGGCCCCACCUUACGGGACCCACCUGUCGGUGAGAGGAAGGCGUGGCCCCGCUAAUCACGUCGAAUAAGUGGACGCGCCCGCCCGCGGAAGCCAUUUCCCUACUCUGGAAACGUAUUCCUCGUGAAUACGCUUUCCAAGUCAGAAAACGUAUUCCCUGGGCACUUCGGCUCAAAAUGCGUUUCCCUGUGCGGAAAACGUAUUCGGCCCAAAGGCACGUUCAGUUUUUCCUCCAGGGGCCUGUUUGCUGAAAAAAUUUCACCGAUAGGUCCUUGAGCUUCAACCCUCCGUAUCUUUUUACCCGUAGCUCCAAAUCAGGUGAUUUCAAAGCCCACGUCUUCGUUUCGUCGAGCCCGUUCUGAUGGAAUCAUUUUCACCAUGUUUGCACAUUCUAAAAGUGACCAUUUUUCCCUUUCCCGUAAACAGCCCCCUCCGAGAGAGAACUGUUUCCGACAAAUCUUUCCGCGAUCGUUCGCACUUUUUUCGGAGUAAUCCUCGACCCCAGGCAAGCCAACCUCUUAUCAUGAGCCCCAAACUCGCAUGUUGAAUUUGCUGGUACCUCGCGUGUGUGCUUAGUUGCAGUAGUUUUUGUCUGUUUCGUCUGCCGUUAUUUCAGUUGUGAUAUAUGUUAGUACUGCUUGCUUACCUCUCAUGAUAGCUUUUGCCAUGCUAGUUAUAUUGUUGUUGAUAAUAUCAUGCCUCUGUCUAGUUUAGUUCAUGCCAGUAGUCUUGAUGUUAUGAUGAUUUUGUUGCACCUUCAAUAAGCUAGUAUCUAGUAUUGUUAUGUUUCAUAUGCUAUAACUGUUCACUGGAGUAGCUUGAUAUUUGUUAAUGCAUUUGUUAGUUGCAUGUUCAUUGUUGCAUUCUUGUUUAAUAUGCUCAUAAUGUUGAUGAUGGUGGAGAAGUUAAUAAUAUGACUUAAUAACAAACCUCCUCCGCCAUCACUGGGAUAUCAUAGUGCCACCAAAUCGAGCUUUCUCC